RNAcentral lists this ribosomal RNA (866 nucleotides) under human gut metagenome. RNAcentral describes it as "bacterial SSU rRNA". It matches the Rfam family "Bacterial small subunit ribosomal RNA", at positions 11 to 878 of the family's 1533-position model. The record is from RNAcentral.
GUUUGAUCCUGGCUCAGGAUGAACGCUGGCGGCGUGCCUAAUACAUGCAAGUCGAACGCUUCACUUCGGUGAAGAGUGGCGAACGGGUGAGUAAUACAUAAGUAACCUGGCAUCUACAGGGGGAUAACUGAUGGAAACGUCAGCUAAGACCGCAUAGGUGUAGAGAUCGCAUGAACUCUAUAUGAAAAGUGCUACGGGACUGGUAGAUGAUGGACUUAUGGCGCAUUAGCUUGUUGGUAGGGUAACGGCCUACCAAGGCGACGAUGCGUAGCCGACCUGAGAGGGUGACCGGCCACACUGGGACUGAGACACGGCCCAGACUCCUACGGGAGGCAGCAGUAGGGAAUUUUCGGCAAUGGGGGAAACCCUGACCGAGCAACGCCGCGUGAAGGAAGAAGUAAUUCGUUAUGUAAACUUCUGUCAUAGAGGAAGAACGGUGGAUAUAGGGAAUGAUAUCCAAGUGACGGUACUCUAUAAGAAAGCCACGGCUAACUACGUGCCAGCAGCCGCGGUAAUACGUAGGUGGCGAGCGUUAUCCGGAAUUAUUGGGCGUAAAGAGGGAGCAGGCGGCACUAAGGGUCUGUGGUGAAAGAUCGAAGCUUAACUUCGGUAAGCCAUGGAAACCGUAGAGCUAGAGUGUGUGAGAGGAUCGUGGAAUUCCAUGUGUAGCGGUGAAAUGCGUAGAUAUAUGGAGGAACACCAGUGGCGAAGGCGACGAUCUGGCGCAUAACUGACGCUCAGUCCCGAAAGCGUGGGGAGCAAAUAGGAUUAGAUACCCUAGUAGUCCACGCCGUAAACGAUGAGUACUAAGUGUUGGGUGUCAAACCUCAGUGCUGCAGUUAACGCAAUAAGUACUCCGCCUGAGU